GAUGAACGCUAGCGGCAGGCCUAAUACAUGCAAGUCAAGGGGACCAGCAAUGGUCACCGGCGGACGGGUGCGUAACGCGUACACAACCUACCCUUAAGAGGGGGAUAGCGGCGGGAAACUGCCGGUAAUACCCCAUGGUAUUAUUGAAUCGCCUGGUUUGAUAAUUAAAGUUCCGGCGCUUAAGGAUGGGUGUGCGUCUGAUUAGCUAGUUGGCGAGGUAACGGCUCACCAAGGCGACGAUCAGUAGGGGGUGUGAGAGCAUGGCCCCCCACACGGUACGUGAGGCGACGACCCGGACCUCCUACCGGGAGGGCGAG
This 317-nucleotide ribosomal RNA is filed under the name uncultured bacterium. RNAcentral describes it as "bacterial SSU rRNA". It matches the Rfam family "Bacterial small subunit ribosomal RNA", at positions 28 to 351 of the family's 1533-position model. The record is from RNAcentral.